GUGGGUAAUUAAGUCUCAACAAACUAAUUUAAAAAUGGGAAAGAGUAAGGGUUUCUCUGCGAUGCAGAUGCUUUCCAUUUUCCUCAUCUCUAUCACCAUUCUUCUUACUCUCGCCCUUUCAGAUGAUCAAUUUGACUAUUAUGUGUACACCCCGCCUCAUGAUGGAUCCGUCCAGCCCCCUGGAAGUGUAGCGAGUUUGAAGCAGCCAUGACGCAGAUCACUAGAAGCAUGGAUCUCCCAUACUAAAUCAUUUUCUUUCCCAGAUUCCAGUUACUCAAAUAAAUUAUUAAUAACUAAAGAUUAAAUAAAUAUGGGUUGGAAUUGAAGUAGUGGGCAAAAUCAAAUGAGGUAAUUAAGUCUCUAUAUAUGUAUGCGUAUUCUGGUUGACUCAAUAAUCUGUUGAUUGAAAUUUGAUAGUAUGAAUACUAAAUCUAUAUCUCUAUAGUGUCUCACUUUGGUGACCCAUUGGCUGUGUUUGUGUUUCACGUUGCAAGUACAAGGCUAUUAUUUUUCUAUUA
This is a long non-coding RNA of Ipomoea triloba (trilobed morning glory), 518 nucleotides long. RefSeq lists it as uncharacterized. The record is from RefSeq and is a predicted model, not a curated record. Lineage: Eukaryota; Viridiplantae; Streptophyta; Magnoliopsida; Solanales; Convolvulaceae. The transcript is spliced from 2 exons.